RNAcentral lists this ribosomal RNA (406 nucleotides) under Synalpheus irie. RNAcentral's name for it is "partial 16S ribosomal RNA". The record is from RNAcentral. Lineage: Eukaryota; Metazoa; Arthropoda; Malacostraca; Decapoda; Alpheidae.
AAUUUGACCGUGCAAAGGUAGCAUAAUCAAUAGUCUUUUAAUUGGAGGCUUGAAUGAAGGGUUUGACGGAGGAAAAGCUGUCUUGUUUAUUAAUAUUGAAUUUAACGUUUGUGUGAAAAGGCAUUAAUGGUUUGGAGGGACGAUAAGACCCUAUAAAACUUUACAUGUUUAUAUUGUUUAAUAUAAUUGUUGGAUAAUUGUUGAAUUGUAAAUUGUGUUUUGCUGGGGCGGCGUAAAUAUAAUUCUAACUGUUUAUAAUAUAAAAUAUUUAUUAGUAGAUAAUGGUCCUUGAUUUAAGAGGUAAGAGUAAGUUACUUUAGGGAUAACAGCAUAAUUUUUUUUGAGAGUUCUUAUCGAAGAUGGAAGUUGUGACCUCGAUGUUGAAUUAAAUUUUUUUUUAAAUGUA